This is a long non-coding RNA of Hippocampus comes (tiger tail seahorse), 1502 nucleotides long. RefSeq lists it as uncharacterized. The transcript is spliced from 4 exons. Lineage: Eukaryota; Metazoa; Chordata; Actinopteri; Syngnathiformes; Syngnathidae. The record is from RefSeq and is a predicted model, not a curated record.
CUUCCUGCUUCUCUUCAGCCAAUCAGACGCAAGCAACAUAAGAACGUUUCAACAAUUAUCAAACAGAAUAUAGUUUAGGUAACUAUAAAAUAAAGUAAUAUAAUGCUCAAAUAUAAAAUGAGAAUAAUCAAUAAUAUAACAUAAGCUUACACACGUUCUACAAAAGAUCCCGUGUGCGUUGCCGGUGUAGCAUAUGGCCGUAUACCAUACUGCUCGCUUCACGGUGUUACGGCAGUGUCGCAAAGCAGUGGUUGAGUGACUGCACACAACUGUUACGGCAGUUGAAUAAAGAGCGUUGACAAAGCAAAUCGUCUCCUCACGUUUUUAGACAAAACACCCGGAAACGCACCAGAAAAUAAACUAAUAAAUAAGUCUUCCUCCACGAGAGGCAGACACAGCUCUUCACGCUUUCGACUCGGCUUCAUUCUCACGGAGCGCCCCUCCGGGAGCGGGGGGAGGUUACAUCUUGUGCUCUUCACACCUCUCUAAACUUGACAACAUGAGGAAGCAUGAAAUAUUGAACAGAUGCACAGCCGUGUUCGGGCGGUCAGCUAAGCGGAUGAACGCGAAGAAGGGGACAAGUGUGAAUGAAAGCAAAAAGUAACAAAACGCAGGCGGGCUGCUGUUAUGAAGGUGGAUUUGGCGAGGUGACACAAACCUGUCAAAUUUCUUUCGAGUCAGAUGCGUCAAUUGGAAGCAGAGCAACGAGGGAGUGCGGUGGCGUCUCUGGCAUGAAAAGUUGAGCGGGUCACCACAGUGGGCGCUUUACAUUUUUAAAAUCAAGACCGCAAUCUAUUUUAUGCAUAGCCAAAUUAAAGGUAUGAAUAAAACCUUUAAUUCAAUUUCUGUCAUGCCGUUGUGUUUCUCGUAAAAUGUCUUGAUCCUCUUCAGUGAUGAAAAGUUGCUCUCAGACCGAGCUGUGGUCAUGGGUGUUGCAAUCAUAAUUUGGAGUGGUGACACAGUUAGGUUAGUUGUCAUAAAUCAGCCGCAGCAGAGACAGAGCGUUUGCCAACAUGCAACUCUUGAGUGACUGGACAGGCAUUUGAGCACAAUUUUGAGCUUAAUUUUAUUUCCAAUUGGCCAGAUUUGAUUUGCUGCUUCUAAUUCAGCACAUGGAUUUACUGAAUUUACUGGAAAGUGUGCUGUCUGCAAACUGUGCUGCAAAAUCUCUCUUCCAAUUGAGUCACUACGGCAUCAUCAGCUUCUUUCAUAACCGCUGGAUACAUGCUAAAGAAACAGCUGGCUCAGAAAGAACCGAAUUUGGAUCAUAAAUGGACUGAUCCACAAUUUGGGCGAAUUGGAAUCAACUUUCUGCAUUAUUUUUGUUGUUUUUUUUUAAAAUCCUAACUGUUUUUCUGAAUCAAAGCAAUUUUUGUUACACAACGAGCAGGAACAAUAUUUGGCAAGUGGAUGUUCAAUAUGGACCCCAAAUUGAGUGUGUUCAAAGACAUAAUGAGGUUGAUUGAUGAUACACCCGCUAAAAUUGAAUGUGUAUGGAUGCA